CCCGGCGGCCGUAGCGCGGUGGUCCCACCUGACCCCAUGCCGAACUCAGAAGUGAAACGCCGUAGCGCCGAUGGUAGUGUGGGGUCUCCCCAUGUGAGAGUAGGAACCGCCAGGU
Molecule: ribosomal RNA, 115 nt
Filed under: Morganella morganii
Lineage: Bacteria; Pseudomonadati; Pseudomonadota; Gammaproteobacteria; Enterobacterales; Morganellaceae
Source: RNAcentral